GACGAACGCUGGCGGCGUGCUUAACACAUGCAAGUCGAACGGAAAGGCUCCAGCUUGCUGGCUUACUCGAUUGGCGAACGGGUGAGUAACACGUGGGUAAUCUGCCCUUCACUCUCGGAUAAGCCUGGGGAACUGGGGCGAAUACUGGAUAUGACCUUUCUCCUUAUGGGGUUUGUUGGAAAGAUUUGCGGUUUAGGAUGAUUCCGCGGCCUAUCGGCUUGUUUGAGGGGGUAGGGCAUGCCAAGGCUACGCCAGGUCGCCCUCCUUAGAGGGUGAUCGACCACCUUGGGACUGCGAUACGGACCAGACGCCUAUGUGCGGCAGCAGUGGGGAAUCUUGCACAAUGGGCGGAAGUCUGAUGUAGCGACGCCGCGUGAGGGAUGACGGCUUUCGGGUUGUAAACCUAUUUCAGCAGGGCCGAAGCGUACUUGACGGUACCUGAAGAAGAAGCCACGGCUAACUACGUG
Molecule: ribosomal RNA, 467 nt
Filed under: uncultured bacterium
Lineage: Bacteria
Description: partial 16S ribosomal RNA
Rfam family: Bacterial small subunit ribosomal RNA
Source: RNAcentral